This 651-nucleotide ribosomal RNA is filed under the name uncultured Armatimonadota bacterium. RNAcentral's name for it is "bacterial SSU rRNA". It matches the Rfam family "Bacterial small subunit ribosomal RNA", at positions 60 to 732 of the family's 1533-position model. The record is from RNAcentral. Lineage: Bacteria; Bacillati; Armatimonadota.
AGUCGAGCGGGGGUAGCAAUACCCUAGCGGCGAACGGUCGCGUAACACGUAAGCAACCUGCCCCGAAGACCGGGACAACAGCUCGAAAGGGCUGCUAAUACCGGAUGUGGCCACCGGAAGGCAUCUUCUGGUGAUUAAACCGAGUAAUCGGCUUCGGGAGGGGCUUGCGGCCUAUCAGCUAGUUGGUGGGGUAACGGCCUACCAAGGCGACGACGGGUAGCUGGUCUGAGAGGACGGCCAGCCGGACUGGGACUGAGAUACGGCCCAGACUCCUACGGGGGGCAGCAAUUAGGAAUCUUGCGCAAUGGGCGAAAGCCUGACGCAGCGACGCCGCGUGGAGGAGGAAGUCCUUCGGGAUGUAAACUCCUUUUUCCGGGGAAGAAACAAAUGACGGUACCCGGUGAAUAAGCCCCGGCUAACUACGUGCCAGCAGCCGCGGUAAUACGUAGGGGGCGAGCGUUGUCCGAAGUUACUGGGCGUAAAGCGCGCGUAGGCGGGGAAUUAAGUGAGAGGUGAAAGGCUGGGGCUCAACCUCAGUAGUGCCUCUCAUACUGGUUCUCUUGAGGGCGGUAGGGAGAAGUGGAAUGGCUGGUGUAGCGGUGAAAUGCGUAGAUAUCAGUCGGAACACCGGUGGCGAAGGCGGCUUCUUGG